This 497-nucleotide ribosomal RNA is filed under the name uncultured bacterium. RNAcentral's name for it is "partial 16S ribosomal RNA". It matches the Rfam family "Bacterial small subunit ribosomal RNA", at positions 28 to 507 of the family's 1533-position model. The record is from RNAcentral.
GAUGAACGCUGGCGGCGUGCCUAAUACAUGCAAGUCGAGCGAACAGACGAGGAGCUUGCUCCUCUGACGUUAGCGGCGGACGGGUGAGUAACACGUGGAUAACCUACCUAUAAGACUGGGAUAACUUCGGGAAACCGGAGCUAAUACCGGAUAAUAUAUUGAACCGCAUGGUUCAAUAGUGAAAGACGGUUUUGCUGUCACUUAUAGAUGGAUCCGCGCCGCAUUAGCUAGUUGUUAAGGUAACGGCUUACCAAGGCGACGAUGCGUAGCCGACCUGAGAGGGUGAUCGGCCACACUGGAACUGAGACACGGUCCAGACUCCUACGGGAGGCAGCAGUAGGGAAUCUUCCGCCGUGGGCGCGCGCCUGCCGGCGCGCCGCCGCGUGAGUGAUGAAGGUCUUCGGAUCGUAAAACUCUGUUAUUAGGGAAGAACAAAUGUGUCCGUAACUAUGCCCGUCUUGCCGGUCCCUGAUCCGAAAGCCACGGCUCCCUACGUG